Long non-coding RNA from Choloepus didactylus (southern two-toed sloth), 415 nucleotides. RefSeq lists it as uncharacterized. The record is from RefSeq and is a predicted model, not a curated record. Lineage: Eukaryota; Metazoa; Chordata; Mammalia; Pilosa; Megalonychidae. The transcript has 3 exons.
CCAGGAGGGUUCCGUGGCUCCCAACACCCAGCCUUGUCUGUUGGCCAGGACCCUGCCAUCACCACCCUUGCCCUGGCUCCCCAGGAAAGCAUCCUCCACAUUCUCUUCUUUUCUCUUCAGGAUCAGCCCUUAGGCAAUCUGAAAACAUGGGGCCAACUCAGCCACUGGGGGACAGGAGUCUGGAUGAGCAGCCCAGCAUGCCUGCGGGGACCGGCCUGAGGCCUCUUCUCCACGUCUGCAGCACACUGGAGCCUCGUUGCGCACAGAGGGAGUUAUCCCGGACUCCCAUCCAGGAAGGGGAGUAGGGAGAAGAAAAGAUGAUGAAGCAGAAGAAAAACCCAUCCUCCCGCAGAGUAGCCAGGCGUGACAGCAACAAAUCUAUAGCCUUGGGAAGAACAAACUGUUGUCAACUGAG